CAUAGGUGGCUCCAGGGGUGACCCUUGUGAUGCCACCUUCAAGUCUGGGCCACCUGUCCCAUGCUCCUGAAGUUGCCAGGAAAAGGCAGGAGAGCAGAACUCUCUGUUGACCUUUCUUGGGGUGCUAGGAAGGACAACAAGUGAGUAGACAAGUGACUAGAUCUUAAGUUGUUCAUUGGCAGCUGCAAGCUCUUAGGUGAGAUGCCUGAAUUGGCCCACCGAGAUUGCUCACUCUCAGAUGGGUUUUCACUAGAGAAGACAAAUUGUAGGGUGCUCAGAAACACCACUAAUUCAUGCAAAGGUCCUGCCCCUUUAUACUCCUUGCAGCUGAAGGACCUCUCAUCAGGUUUUGGGUGUGGGACCUGUGGCUCUCCAGAUUCUGUUGAAUUCCAUCUUCCAUUACUCCCAACCAACAUGCCCAAUGGUCCACUGGGGGUUGUAGUCCAACAGUAGCCACAGGUUCCCUGUCGCUGAAUUAAUCUCUGCUUGACUACAGUGGUACCUUGGGUUACAGACGCUUCAGGUUACAGCUGCUUCAGGUUACAGACUACGCUUACCCAGAAACAGUACCUCGGGUUAAGAACUUUGCUUCAGGAUGAGAACAGAAAUCAUGCAGCAGCGGCGUAGCGGCAGCAGGAGGCCCCAUUAGCUAAUGUGGUGCUUCAGGUUAAGAACAGUUUCAGGUUAAGAAAGGACCUCCAGAACGAAUUAAGUUCUUAACCUGAGGUACCACUGUAUAUAAAAACCCAGGUUGCAUACACAGCAUAUGUUUAAAGCACACCCUGCCCCGCUGGAACAAUCCUGGAAAAUGUAGUCUUCCCCUCACAGUGCUGCAGUUCCCAGCAUCCUCAGGAUGAGGGAGGGGGGAAUGUGCUUUAAACGUCUGUUGUGUGCACCAAAAUUUCAAGUCAGAUCACUUGGUAUUGUGUACACUGACCAGCCAAAGUUUCUGGGAGGAGUCUUUCCCAGUUCUGCUAGAGACCCUAUCGAUUUGCCUGUCCUCAGACCUAAUGACAUAUUUGGCAUCAGGUGUAGGGCAGGUGGGUGUGGCUUUGCUGAAACAGCCUUGCAGGCCAAAUGGGGAGACCUGUUGGGCUGAAUUAGACCUCUGGGAUGGAGGUACCCCACCAAGUGUUCUAUAAAGUGGGCCUUCACAGGAUCAGAUUCUGCUAUCCUAAGGCAUUCAUCCAGGUCCUGCAAUUUUCCCAUCUGACCAAGCGCCAGGCUGUUCUGCUGAUUGAUACAGUACUAGUUAUAUAAGAGCCACAUUGGAUAAGAUAAAAAACCCACCUUGUUAAGUUGUGGGUGAACAUAUCAGACGACACAGCGAUUCUUCAAACAGCUCUUGUUUAUUCACAGGCCAGAACAGAACUGAACUGAAGGGUUCAGCCAGCCUGCUUAUAUAGAGCUCCACUAGAACACAACAGUAACCACUUUCUGUAACUAUCCAAUCACUGAACGUCACUUUCAAUCCCUUAUUUGCAUAUGUGGACCUGAACUAUCUACAGUAUCCCCCUGCUGGCCCAGGGUGAGAACUUCAGUACAUAACACCCCUUGUUCAUUUUGUCCCCGCAUGGUGGCCAACCAGAUCUUUCUGGCAGCUUUAGACUGAUUUCCCAAUUUCCUCAGAUCUUGCCCAACACCCUAAGGUUGUCCAUCCAACUGGAACAGAAGGAUGAAGUGUUGUCCUGUGCAGCACAAAUUUCAGGUUUCUGUGAGCAGAAAGGAUAAUUGAUCUUGCUGCCCUCCCAUCCACAACUUGGUAUCUGUGUCUGCUUCCUCCUCUCGUGCCCCACGUUGCCUUCCAAUGGGUCCUGCUGUCCUAUUAUGUAAGAACAUGAGAAGAACUAGGCUGGAUCAGGCCCCUUAAGGCCCAUCAAGUCCAGAAUCUCACAGUGACCAACACGAUACAGGUGGAAAGCCCAGUAAACCUGUUUCCAAACUCCAGUUUCCUUUGCUCGUUACCUUUCUGAUUUUUGAACUAAUUAUUGGCUAGAUUUGUCUGAGAAGGGACCCGGUUAGAAGCGGUGCCAGUUUGGGGAAAUGAAAUACACUGAAGUCAAAUGGCCUCGGUUCACUCACCAGAUAAACAUUUCUUUUUUCAAGCAAAGGGAUCGCUGUGUUUUAAAACGAUGGAAGGAGAGUUUCUGUCCUGGCAAACACACAAUAGUGCCGUUUCAGCAACAACAAAAGCGCACAAACACUUCCUGCGAAUGUCUCUCCCAGAUGAGAUCAUUUGAAAUACGCAUCUUGAUUUUGUUGAUAACCAAUGAGUCACGCAAUGUUAUAAAAUGAUGUCACUGGGAUUUAAUUAACUGCAGUCAUUUCCGCAUGUUCAUGCGGGUACAAGGGAGCUCCCCAGAGAAGAAGAAUCAGGGAUACUUUGGCUGACUAAUCGCAGCCUUCCACCAAUUCAUUUGCAUGGAAUCCACAAUAUAUGUGAGUGCACUCAAAUUGUGUUUCAGGCUGGAUUAAUGGUCUGAAACAUGGUCCUCAGUUUCUCCUUGCCCUUCCUGGCCUCAGUUCUGGUCCUGUCUAUCCUCCUGAACCAUCUCUCAGUGGUAGGGUACAUCUGCUGUAAGUAGAAAAGUUGAAUCCCUG
Molecule: long non-coding RNA, 2601 nt
Filed under: Podarcis lilfordi (Lilford's wall lizard)
Lineage: Eukaryota; Metazoa; Chordata; Lepidosauria; Squamata; Lacertidae
Source: RNAcentral